RNAcentral lists this transfer RNA (72 nucleotides) under Phytohabitans maris. RNAcentral describes it as "tRNA-Val". It matches the Rfam family "tRNA". Rfam says of the family: Transfer RNA (tRNA) molecules are approximately 80 nucleotides in length. Their secondary structure includes four short double-helical elements and three loops (D, anti-codon, and T loops). The record is from RNAcentral. Lineage: Bacteria; Bacillati; Actinomycetota; Actinomycetes; Micromonosporales; Micromonosporaceae.
GCCUGUGUAGCUCAGCGGGAGAGCGCCGCUCUUACAAAGCGGAGGCCGGGGGUUCGACACCCUCCUCAGGCA